AUUCCAGCUCCAUAGCGUAUACUAAAGUUGUUGCAGUUAAAAAGCUCGUAGUUGAAUUUCUGGUCGUGGCGAUCGGUCCGCCCCUCACGGGGUGUGCACCUGGUCUCUACGUCCAUCCUCGGGGAGAGCGCGUCUGGCAUUCAGUUGUCGGGCGCGGGAUCCUCGUCAUUUACUGUGAGCAAAAUAGAGUGUUCAAAGCAGGCUUAGGCCGUUGAAUACAUUAGCAUGGAAUAAUAAGAUAGGACCUUGGUCUAUUUUGUUGGUUUGCAUUCCAAGGUAAUGAUUAAUAGGGAUAGUUGGGGGUAUUCGUAUUCAAUUGUCAGAGGUGAAAUUCUUGGAUUUAUGGAAGACGAACUACUGCGAAAGCAUUUACCAAGGAUGUUUUCAUUA
This 390-nucleotide ribosomal RNA is filed under the name Chrysophyceae sp. RNAcentral describes it as "partial small subunit ribosomal RNA". It matches the Rfam family "Eukaryotic small subunit ribosomal RNA", at positions 582 to 975 of the family's 1831-position model. Lineage: Eukaryota; Chrysophyceae. The record is from RNAcentral.